This 481-nucleotide ribosomal RNA is filed under the name Methylobacterium sp. RNAcentral's name for it is "bacterial SSU rRNA". It matches the Rfam family "Bacterial small subunit ribosomal RNA", at positions 402 to 902 of the family's 1533-position model. Lineage: Bacteria; Pseudomonadati; Pseudomonadota; Alphaproteobacteria; Hyphomicrobiales; Methylobacteriaceae. The record is from RNAcentral.
UGAGUGAUGAAGGCCUUCGGGUUGUAAGCUCUUUUGUCCGGGACGAUAAUGACGGUACCGGAAGAAUAAGCCCCGGCUAACUUCGUGCCAGCAGCCGCGGUAAUACGAAGGGGGCUAGCGUUGCUCGGAAUCACUGGGCGUAAAGGGCGCGUAGGCGGCCGAUUAAGUCGGGGGUGAAAGCCUGUGGCUCAACCACAGAAUUGCCUUCGAUACUGGUUGGCUUGAGACCGGAAGAGGACAGCGGAACUGCGAGUGUAGAGGUGAAAUUCGUAGAUAUUCGCAAGAACACCAGUGGCGAAGGCGGCUGUCUGGUCCGGUUCUGACGCUGAGGCGCGAAAGCGUGGGGAGCAAACAGGAUUAAAUACCCUGGUAGUCCACGCCGUAAACGAUGAAUGCCAGCCGUUGGUCUGCUUGCAGGUCAGUGGCGCCGCUAACGCAUUAAGCAUUCCGCCUGGGGAGUACGGUCGCAAGAUUAAAACUA